This 271-nucleotide ribosomal RNA is filed under the name uncultured soil bacterium. RNAcentral describes it as "partial 16S ribosomal RNA". It matches the Rfam family "Bacterial small subunit ribosomal RNA", at positions 26 to 285 of the family's 1533-position model. The record is from RNAcentral.
AGGACGAACGCUGGCGGCGUGCUUAACACAUGCAAGUCGAGCGGUAAGGCCUCUUCGGGGGUACACGAGCGGCGAACGGGUGAGUAACACGUGGGCGACCUGCCCUCAGCUCUGGGAUAAGCCUGGGAAACUGGGUCUAAUACCGGAUAUGACUUCACAUCGCAUGGUGUGUUGUGGAAAGCCUGGUCUUAAUUGAUUCGGCGGCUGGGGAUGGGCCCGCGGCCUAUCAGCUUGUUGGUGGGGUGAUGGCCUACCAAGGCGACGACGGGUA